RNAcentral lists this ribosomal RNA (497 nucleotides) under uncultured bacterium. RNAcentral's name for it is "partial 16S ribosomal RNA". It matches the Rfam family "Bacterial small subunit ribosomal RNA", at positions 28 to 507 of the family's 1533-position model. The record is from RNAcentral.
GAUGAACGCUGGCGGCGUGCCUAAUACAUGCAAGUCGAGCGAACAGACGAGGAGCUUGCUCCUCUGACGUUAGCGGCGGACGGGUGAGUAACACGUGGAUAACCUACCUAUAAGACUGGGAUCAUUUCGGGAAACCGGAGCUAAUACCGGAUAAUAUAUUGAACCGCAUGGUUCAAUAGUGAAAGACGGUUUUGCUGUCACUUAUAGAUGGAUCCGCGCCGCAUUAGCUAGUUGGUAAGGUAACGGCUUACCAAGGCAACGAUGCGUAGCCGAACUGAGAGGGUGAUCGGCCACACUGGAGCUGAGACACGGUCCAGACUCCUACGGGAGGCAGCAGUAGGGAAUCUUCCGCAAUGGGCGAAAGCUUGACGGAGCGACGCCGCGUGAGUGAUGAAGGUCUUCGGAUCGUAAAACUCUGUUAUUAGGGAAGAACAAAUGUGUAAGUAACUAUGCACGUCUUGACGGUACCUAGUCAGAAAGCCACGGCUAACUACGUG